RNAcentral lists this ribosomal RNA (1470 nucleotides) under metagenome. Its description in RNAcentral is "bacterial SSU rRNA". It matches the Rfam family "Bacterial small subunit ribosomal RNA". The record is from RNAcentral.
AGAGUUUGAUCCUGGCUCAGGACGAACGCUGGCGGCACGCUUAACACAUGCAAGUCGAACGAGAGAAGAGGAGCUUGCUUUUCUGAUCUAGUGGCGGACGGGUGAGUAACACGUGAGCAAUCUGCCUUUCAGAGGGGGAUACCGAUUGGAAACGAUCGUUAAUACCGCAUAACAUAAUUGAACCGCAUGAUUUGAUUAUCAAAGAUUUAUCGCUGAAAGAUGAGCUCGCGUCUGAUUAGCUAGUUGGUAAGGUAACGGCUUACCAAGGCGACGAUCAGUAGCCGGACUGAGAGGUUGAUCGGCCACAUUGGGACUGAGACACGGCCCAGACUCCUACGGGAGGCAGCAGUGGGGAAUAUUGCACAAUGGAGGAAACUCUGAUGCAGCGAUGCCGCGUGAGGGAAGAAGGUUUUAGGAUUGUAAACCUCUGUCUUCAGGGACGAAAAAAGACGGUACCUGAGGAGGAAGCUCCGGCUAACUACGUGCCAGCAGCCGCGGUAAUACGUAGGGAGCGAGCGUUGUCCGGAAUUACUGGGUGUAAAGGGAGCGUAGGCGGGAUCGCAAGUCAGAUGUGAAAACUAUGGGCUUAACCCAUAAACUGCAUUUGAAACUGUGGUUCUUGAGUGAAGUAGAGGUAAGCGGAAUUCCUAGUGUAGCGGUGAAAUGCGUAGAUAUUAGGAGGAACAUCAGUGGCGAAGGCGGCUUACUGGGCUUUAACUGACGCUGAGGCUCGAAAGCGUGGGGAGCAAACAGGAUUAGAUACCCUGGUAGUCCACGCCGUAAACGAUGAUUACUAGGUGUGGGGGGACUGACCCCUUCCGUGCCGCAGCAAACGCAAUAAGUAAUCCACCUGGGGAGUACGACCGCAAGGUUGAAACUCAAAGGAAUUGACGGGGGCCCGCACAAGCAGUGGAGUAUGUGGAUUAAUUCGAAGCAACGCGAAGAACCUUACCAGGUCUUGACAUCGUAUGCAUAGCUCAGAGAUGAGUGAAAUCUCUUCGGAGACAUAUAGACAGGUGGUGCAUGGUUGUCGUCAGCUCGUGUCGUGAGUUGUUGGGUUAAGUCCCGCAACGAGCGCAACCCUUACUGUUAGUUGCUACGCAAGAGCACUCUAGCAGGACUGCCGUUGACAAAACGGAGGAAGGUGGGGAUGACGUCAAAUCAUCAUGCCCCUUAUGACCUGGGCCUCACACGUACUACAAUGGCUGUCAACAGAGGGAAGCAAAGCCGCGAGGUGGAGCGAACCCCUAAAAGCAGUCUUAGUUCGGAUUGUAGGCUGCAACCCGCCUACAUGAAGUCGGAAUUGCUAGUAAUCGCAGAUCAGCAUGCUGCGGUGAAUACGUUCCCGGGCCUUGUACACACCGCCCGUCACGCCAUGGGAGUCGGUAACACCCGAAGCCUGUAGUCUAACCGCAAGGAGGACGCAGUCGAAGGUGGGAUUGAUGACUGGGGUGAAGUCGUAACAAGGUA